RNAcentral lists this long non-coding RNA (3079 nucleotides) under Panax ginseng (ginseng). RNAcentral describes it as "long non-coding RNA (PGIN_LNC007265)". The record is from RNAcentral. Lineage: Eukaryota; Viridiplantae; Streptophyta; Magnoliopsida; Apiales; Araliaceae.
UCCUUUUUACUAGCUGAGGUAAUUAAAUUAUGCAGUUCUAUCGUUAUUGGUGCCUUCAUUUUGGAUUAGUAAGUAGAUUAUUUUAUGUUGUUUUUUUAGUAAAUAAACUGCGUUUUGUAUGAAUCUGAAGCUGUGUCUGCGUUUUGUAUGACCAGACUGUAACCCAAAAUCCAUAUAUAACUUACAGAGAAAGAGAGAAAGGAUUGUACCAGCGCCUUGAGCACCAGCUCCUCGAACAAUGGUGAGACCCACCGGAAGAGGAUUAUAUGCAGCAACAGAGACUCCGAAAACAUAAUCUUGAAAUGAAACCUUUGUUCCAUUGAGAUACUCAUCAUACUCAUAACCAUUGCUUAAUCCCAAAUACCCAAUAACAAUUACACCGCAAAAACACAAAAUGUUCCUCAUUUAUUAUAUCUAAUCCCACCUCUUUAAUACCCAAAAAUCAAAAUGCUAACUUUUAACGGGAGUUGCAUGGACACAAAAUGCAUUUUGAAUAUUUUGGGAUCUAAAUCAACCCAUUCUUUUCUUAGAUUUAAUAAACUUUCAUGUAUUCAAAGUUUCACUGAAUAUCAUGUAAUUGUUUUAAUUGUUUAUUGAUUCAAGUAUGAUAUUUGUUGUUUUCUCACUAUCAAGUUUUACAAUUCUGUUCUUUUGCUCGCAAUUUGCACAGUUAUGACCCAAGUUUUGCUGUAUAAAUUUGUGUUUUCAAUGGCAAUUUUGCAGGAGUGGAUGCUGACAAAUUACCUGUAGUGGGUUUGUCUUCAAUUAUUGUAAGUUGCAUAAUUUGUAUGUUUAUUUAUCUUUUUCUACAUGCACAAACACACAUAUGUAUUAUUUAUCAGGCAUAUGUAUUGUAUAAUUGCUAUGUCAAAUGAGGAAAAUUGCAAGUUGCACCAGGGUAUAUUUGUUAUAUCUACCUGUUUCUCUUUUGAAUUAUUGCUCGAAAAACUGCAAGUAGAGAGAUGUGAGGAGGAAAAUUGUACUAAUUUAGCACACACAAAAUUAGUUUAUGUUAUUAUUAAUUUUGGUGGUUGUAGACUUUAGUAUUAUUAUUCUCUUUAUAAUACGAUAAAAAAAAAAUUAAUCUGUAAUGUUAGGGAUAAAUUGAGUUGACAAGAUAAUUGCAUGCAAUGAAGAAAUUUUGUCACCAGUAUCAUAAAUGUAAUUUAUUUAAAGAUAAAACUUUAGCAACUCCAGUAAAAAGUUAGUAUUAGAGAUUGAACGAGUCCGUGCAUAAAACUUUGUCCUAAUUCAUACUUUAUCCGUUUCUUGAUAUAAGUCGUUUUAGAAUUGUGUACAGUAUUAAAAAAAUAAUUGUAUAACUUUAAAUAUAAUAUUAAUUAUCUAUAUUAUCUUUAUAUUAUAAAAAGAGUGUUAUUUCUUAGCAAAAAAUAGUGAGAGAACCAAAAUUAUAUUUAAUACUUGGAAUAAUAUUGAAAACUAAAUAAUUAAUAAUUACUUAAAAUUCUCAAACCACUUAUAUUAAAAUUGAGUGUCAUGACUAACAUAGCAGUAGUUUAACCAACUUUAUACCCUACAGAUUAUAAAGUGCACAGGUGUGGCUUCAAAUGCUUUUAUCUAUAUUUUCCAAUACGCUAACACUGUAAAUUUGUAAACCGAACCAUUUGGAUACCUUUACGAAAUUAUUGUAAUAAGAAAUUUGACAAACACUGUGGUGUACAAUCUGCGGUCGCACAUGCUGCAAACAUUUUGCUGCUGCAAACUCUGGUGCAAAGUGCAAACAAAACAAUAUAUUCUAAGUGUUACUAUUUUGAUGUAGAACGAUAUCUGGAGAUAGAUCAUUGUUGAAAAUAAUUGAUAAAAAUAAGGGAAUAAUUAAUGCAUUUCUUUCAAUUCCUAAUUUGUGGAGAAACUUACUGCUACGUUAGGAAUAAAUUCUUGAUUGUGAAGAUAUUUCUACUUCAGUGUGCAGUUAUCUAAUUAUAAGCUUUAAUAAGCAGACACAUCAGUAAUUUACCAAGUUCACAAGUUUUUUUGCUGUCAAACUUAUUGCCUAUCCUCUCCUGUAUUGGAAAAAUAAAUAAAUGACUUUAUCUCUAGAGUGAGCGAACAAUCUAGAAGAAAUACAAUAGCAUUGCUAUAUAGGCUGAACUAUCCGCUUGAACAUCAUUGUAAUUGUCCAUAUUCCCCAUAUAUUUGAGCCAUUAAUGCCGAUGGUUGUAAUUUUCCAGACUACAUAACAUGUACAAGUGUAAUUUUCUGUAUAGAUAGAUUGGGGAUUAAUUGACGGUAAGUAAAGGAGAAAAAAUCCCCUAAAAAAUCAAAUAAAUGCCAUAUCACUUAUUGUUAAGUAUGGAAAAAUGACAAAACAUGCAGUCAUGAGUAAUUCCAUUUAAUCAAUUCUAAGUUGCAUUGUACAGUUAUCUAAUUAUAAGCUUAAAUAAGCAGACACAUCAGUAAUUUAUCAAGUUCACAAGUUUUUUUGCUGUCAAACUUAUUGCCUAUCCUUUCAUGUAUUGGAAAAAUAAAUAAAUGACUUUAUCUCUAGAGAGAGCGAACAAUCUAGAAGAAAUACAAUAGCAUUGCUAUAUAGGCUGAACUAUCCGCUUGAACAUCAUUGCAAUUCUUAAAUCGUAUUUAAGUAAUCACGUGUCAAUUGUUUCGUUCUUGCGAUACUACUAACAUUUUGCUUUCUCUUAUAAAUAACAGAUUUUUGUUACAAACAAUAUUCGUUGGUCGUGGACGUUGCCGAUGGAUAACCUUUUUUUUCAAAGGUUUAUGUACCAAAGACAUGGUAGAGCUUGACAGAUAUACAAGGUAAAUGUUAUUAUAUGUAUUUUUGGGUAUAUAUUGAAGGAUACUUGGUGUAAGCUGUAAAGAAUGUAUUUGGUGUAAGAUGUAAAGUAAAGGGUGGUGCUCAACAUGUUGUUUCUCUAUUUUCUGCAUAUAUGUAUUUUUGUUCUCCGUCUUUUGUAAAGUUGGGUAAUUAUACAUGGUUAUGAUGAUUUUGAGUAUGUAAUGAUGUUUUUUUUGGUGGUUUGGAUAUGUAUGGAUGAUUGUAAGUUUUUUAAAUAGGUUUAGAUUUUUCUGGAUAUCUAUUUUAAAGGAAACUCUGCCG